Triplophysa rosa is the source of this 549-nucleotide long non-coding RNA. RefSeq lists it as uncharacterized. The record is from RefSeq and is a predicted model, not a curated record. The transcript is spliced from 3 exons. Lineage: Eukaryota; Metazoa; Chordata; Actinopteri; Cypriniformes; Nemacheilidae.
UUCAUAUAUAAUUUAAUGUGAAAUUGAACAUGUACUAUCCAACAUCUAUUAACAGAAAUAACAGACCUUUAAACACUUUAAACCUAUAAACACUUAAGACUGAUAAGCCACUGUCUCACUUCAGAAAUACCACACUGAAUAACAGAUUUGAGUACAAACACCAUCAAGCCCAACUUACAGAAAAGCACAGAUGACUCUCCAAACAGGACUAAGAACACAAAGGUCGUCAUACAACUCCCAGAAACAUGGAGGCCUCCUACAGUAGGCCACAUAAUGUCCAAGAGCAUCCUGGGUUAAGCCUCCUUUGAAAGCAAUGACUGCCCUUAAGGUAAAUCUCUUUCCUUGGAGCAUCAGAUUGGAAGGAAAUUCACACAAAGGAAAUUCUGUGGAGUUGCUUCUUUCCAGAGGGACACUGUGUUGGAUUUUGGAUUGGCCUGAGGCAGGGGGAUUCUGGAUGGUUAAGGCCUUCUUCCACUGCGGUCUGAAGAUGAGCCAUACCAGAAGCCUGCAGUACAGCAACAGAAGUAGAAACAAAUGGAAUUUCCCUUG